Long non-coding RNA from Thunnus maccoyii (southern bluefin tuna), 1163 nucleotides. RefSeq lists it as uncharacterized. The record is from RefSeq and is a predicted model, not a curated record. Lineage: Eukaryota; Metazoa; Chordata; Actinopteri; Scombriformes; Scombridae. The transcript is spliced from 2 exons.
GUUACUGCCACUACUACUAAUUAUUAUUACAAUAAUAUCACAGCUGCUCCAACUGUUUCUGCUACUGUGACUAAAAUACUGCUAUGUCUGUUGCAAGUUGUCAGGCUACUCAAAGCAGGAUUAUCAUCUACUGUUGUAACCAAGGUCUUAAAUCUACUAAUACAAUACCCCGCUGGUGUAAAGCCUGACUGGGCUGCGCUCAAGGAAUUGCAAUAAUCAAAUCAGCCCUGUAGUUAAACUUUUUGCCACAGAUGCAGGGACACGCUGGCGUGUGCUGCCUCAUUCCUUUCUCCUUUUCAUUUAGCCACGUUUUUCCGGCUCAGACAGAUUAGAUGUACUGAUACACUGACUCAGAAUGCUGUUAUUGAUGUCUUUGAUGAGGAGUGAUGGAGUGACAGAAGCCAGAAAGAGAAUAAAAAAGAAUUGACCCAGCUGAGCUCCUCACAGUGUGCACUGGUGUAAAAUUGGGUUGGGUCUGGAGAGCUGGUGAGUUUUGGUCUUGGUUUAGCAAAAAUAUGAUAAGAACAGCUCACCACCCACUGCUAGCCAAAGGGGGACAAACACAGACACCAUACCUGUGAGGAGAAAAUAGAGAGAAAAGAACAGAGAGAGAGAGCAGAGAAGCAGUGAAAGAGAGAUGGCUGCACGCUGAGGACACACAGAGAAUUGCAACAAAUCUGAAGCAGGGGGAAAGGAUGCAGAAGCAGCAUUGACUCAAACAGGAGUGACAAAUUAAACUACAGCUGUGCAUUUGCACUGCAAGAAGCAUGAUCCACAAUUCACAGGAAGUUCAUUAAUUUCCUACAGAGCCAAAGGACUGAGGAAACAGUGGAUGUCAACAAUGCUGUCAGCUGAGAAGCUACCUCAGCUGAACUUUUCACAGCAAUUGGUGGUAAACAGCAUAUAAGGUUUCAUGUUUUUUUGUUUGUUUAUUUGUUUGUUUUUUAAUCCCUACAGAUGUGGUUUACUAUGUACAGUAAUUCAGACUUGAGACUGCAAAUGUUCACCUCACGUUAUUCACACAAAUUAACACUGGCGUGUUGCAAGUGUUUAUUCAUCACGUUAGCUGUUAGCUUUAGCUAGCUAAUGUAUAUACCAAUGGUGUAUGCAUGGUGUGUUGUGCUUUAGCCUCUGGUUGAUCUUUAAAAUCACCAAGAAUCCCA